AAUAAUAUCUAUGAGAAAAUAAAAUAUUAUAAUAUACAAAAAUAAAAAUAAAUUUAAAAUAUAGUUUAAAGAUUGAUAAAAUACUAUAAUAUAAUGGUGUCUUUGAAAAAAACUAGUAUAAUAUAGCAAAUAAAAAUAACACUAGAGUACGGUAUAUUGGCUCAAAGGGGGCAGUAUCAUAGUGGGAGACUAGAUUUGGUUGAGUCACGUUCGAAGUUAUGAUAGGUCAGAUUAGGCCGAAACAUGUUCGAAAUAUGUUUUAAGUAAAUUGAUUGUACAUUCUAAUAGUUUGAGUUUUUAAAAUUAAUAAUUAGCGUAAAAUAUCUUACAGUACUAUGUCAAUACCUUAUCAGUA
RNAcentral lists this long non-coding RNA (355 nucleotides) under Ananas comosus (pineapple). RNAcentral's name for it is "long non-coding RNA (ACOM_LNC039633)". The record is from RNAcentral. Lineage: Eukaryota; Viridiplantae; Streptophyta; Magnoliopsida; Poales; Bromeliaceae.